AUGUGAGACCGCAAAGCCUGCCUCCACAGUGAUGUACUUCCUCCAACAAAGCCAUUUCCUAUGGGCGAAGCAUUCACACAGGUGAGUCUAUAGUGUGUGUGUGUGUGUGUGUGUGUGUGUCGGGGGGGCAAUUCCUAUUCAAACCACCACAGGUGGGUCAAUCUUUUUGAAUUUUUUCAGAGAUCUCUGUUGGGUUGGGUCUAUAUAUUGUUGUUUUACUCUCUGUUUUAUUAUGAUUAUUUUUUGGGCCCCAAUAGUUGUUAUUUCUUGCUAUACACUGCUUUAUGGCAUGGCUUGUUCUUGUCUUUAUAAGACUUUGAGUUGGAUCAACAAGUUAUUAUAAGUUAUUUCUAAUUUUUUCAGGUGAAGAGUUAUUUUGUUUACUUUGUUUUAUUUUUCUUUAUUCUGAGGGUUUUGUAUACGUGUGCAAUGAAACACCUAUUCCCCUCACAAUUUUUCACCUCAAACUUUCCUCUUAUCUUCUUCAAACUGUCCCGCCCCGCAAGUUCAUAUCAUUUCUCUUUGUAACUCACCUAUGUCCAGUUAGUGUUGUCCAUAUGUUUAUGGGUUUGGAGCCAUGCACCGUAGCAUGGCAUGGGAAUCCCAUCAGUCACCAAAUCUUCAAAAAUGAAUGAUUCUACCUUCCCUAACAACUAUUCACUGUCCAUAGGUCCUCCACAAUCGUCAGAACCUGAAGAUCAUAUAUCCCAUCUACACCAGAAUUUAGUUGGCUUGAUCUUGAACAAGUCUUGUACAGUUAACCCUAGCUAUUAUGAGUAGCAUGACAGCCAUGCCACGUCUGUCACAUAGCCUGUUACAGCACUCCUCCAUCACCACUUUUACAUUCUUUCAGCCUCAUCUUCCUUCAUGCUCCUUGGGACUUGUGUCAGGCUAGGUAUAAAUGUUCCAUUUAGGGUUAAUCAGUUGAUCUUCUAUUCUUAGCACCUUGACUAGAUAUGUACCACUCUGUUGGCUACUGCUUGAUGCAGAAAGAGUUCCCGACAGAGAUUGGGUAUAGCCCAGGUCUAUUGUUAUAAACACAAAUAGUAAGAAGGCAAUGUGGGCAAGAAAUAUUUAGCAAUGUAACUAUACAGGUUCUCUGUUAGGGCCUAUGGUUUCCAUUCCCAUGGGCUUUUGAACAGAAUUACAGUCCCAGGCAGGAAAUUCCCUCCCAUAGAGCAGAUCUCAAACUAAUUAGAAAACAGUUACUCACCCUAGAAGAGUCAUUCCACACGUAAGUCAGUAGACACUUCUUGUCAUCAGAUUGUCAUUUUAGCAUUCAGUGUCCAGCACUGGGUAGGACUAUUGAUGUCUCUCUCAACCCACAGCAGUCUCCAUAGCCUUUUAGGAUUCUACGAAAGGUAGCCAGAGGGGAGGAAGUUUUAAGUCAGUUUGAAAUUGAUGUCUCUAUAUCCGUUAGCCAAGUGUGUAUACUCAUAGCUGUAAACCAUUCCCUAAAGGUAAAAAUAUGCCUUCAUUUAUGUUAGAUUCUAGGAACCUUCAGUUUCUUCUCUGGUUUCGUCAAUGACCUAAUUCUCUCAAGUGUGUAUUGUUUGGCCUCCAGGUAUUUUCAUAGCUUUUUGGGGGUUUGUUUUGUUUUUGUUUUUUGGGUUUUUUUUCUAUUUUUUUUCUAGGUUCAUGCCACUGUGAUCUGAUAUGAUACCAUAAAUGAUCUCCUUUCUUUUAUAUUUGUUAACAUUUUCUUUGUGGCCUAGUAUGCUGUUUCAGAGAAGGCUCUAUGGGAUGCUGAAAAGAAUGUGUAUUCUAUAUCUAUUGGAUGGAAUAUUGUGUAGAUAUCUGUUAAGUUUAUGAUGGACCAAAACCCUGAGGUUUAUUUCUGUUUCUUUUUAAUUCGCAAGACCUGUGAAAAGAUGAAAGUGGGGUAUUGAAACCAACCACUAUGAUUCUAUCAAGAUCCAUCUUAUUUUUCAUGCACGUUAAUUAUUUAUGCCACCAGGAACUUAAAACACUCAGUCUCCAUUUGUUUGUAAUUGUAUCUUCUUGGUCAACAGUUGCCUUUACUAAGAGUCAGAGUGAGAAGGGUCAUUUCUCCCAUCCCCAGUCACUUUAGCUAUAUACAGAGUUAUGAGACAUAAAAUCCAUGUUUACCUAAUUUUGUGUUCAUGGUUUGUGGUAGUGUUAUUUUAUUUCCUGUACCAUUUCCUCCAUCCUUUAGUUUUUCUUCUGUUUACCCAAACUUUCCAUUGUGUUUCCCCCACAGAUUUAUUGAGUUUUUUUACUUCCAAAAUGUCUAAUUUUUUUAGCACAGUUUCCUUGAUAAGUAGUUUUUUUUUCCAUGUUGUCAACUUUUCUACUCAUAUUUCAGAUUUUUUUAUUUUUAUACUUUUCUUUUCCUUUUUCUACACUUUUUCUUCUGUGUUGCUGGCUUUCUUCUCCAGGUCUUAGAUUAAAUUCUUCUGCUUGCUCUUACCUUAUUUAAGGGUAUUGAUCAUUUUUUUUUAUUGGAAAACUUAAACUCUUUCUUUGUCAUUCCCACCUAUUUUUGUAUAUUUAAAUCCAGCCGUUGAGCAAUUAUGGUCUUUUGGAGAAAGAUAUUGCCUCAAUUUUUCAUGUUCCAGGUGUUUCUGUGUUGUGAUUUAUACAUCCACUAAGGUGGUUAUCUUUUCCAGUUUCAUCUGAGGAACUUUUUUUUUAUUGAGUAGCCUACUAUAAGGGCUCAAUCCCCAGCACCACUCAAUGACAAGAAAGCAACUGUUAUAACAUCAACACCAACAAACCAGCACGAUAAUGAUAAUCCACGCUGAAUUUCACUGCUCUUUGAUGUGCUAAGAACCCAUGCUGAGAGGAUUAAGUAAACAAGAAUCAAGUUAAGGACCAAACUAUGAGCAAAGUCGUAAUUUGUUGAUGAACUUCUAGCCAGCGAGAUGUAUGGCUCUAAAAACAGGAGUCUAGCAUGGCAGUCCUUUGAGAGGCUCCAC
Mus musculus (house mouse) is the source of this 2939-nucleotide long non-coding RNA. RefSeq annotates it as predicted gene, 31960. The record is from RefSeq and is a predicted model, not a curated record. The transcript has 3 exons. Lineage: Eukaryota; Metazoa; Chordata; Mammalia; Rodentia; Muridae.